GGCGCUACGGAAUCUGCCUGGUAGUGGGGGAUAACGUCCGGAAACGGGCGCUAAUACCGCAUACGUCCUGAGGGAGAAAGUGGGGGAUCUUCGGACCUCACGCUAUCAGAUGAGCCUAGGUCGGAUUAGCUAGUUGGUGGGGUAAAGGCCUACCAAGGCGACGAUCCGUAACUGGUCUGAGAGGAUGAUCAGUCACACUGGAACUGAGACACGGUCCAGACUCCUACGGGAGGCAGCAGUGGGGAAUAUUGGACAAUGGGCGAAAGCCUGAUCCAGCCAUGCCGCGUGUGUGAAGAAGGUCUUCGGAUUGUAAAGCACUUUAAGUUGGGAGGAAGGGCAGUAAGUUAAUACCUUGCUGUUUUGACGUUACCAACAGAAUAAGCACCGGCUAACUUCGUGCCAGCAGCCGCGGUAAUACGAAGGGUGCAAGCGUUAAUCGGAAUUACUGGGCGUAAAGCGCGCGUAGGUGGUUCAGCAAGUUGGAUGUGAAAUCCCCGGGCUCAACCUGGGAACUGCAUCCAAAACUACUGAGCUAGAGUACGGUAGAGGGUGGUGGAAUUUCCUGUGUAGCGGUGAAAUGCGUAGAUAUAGGAAGGAACACCAGUGGCGAAGGCGACCACCUGGACUGAUACUGACACUGAGGUGCGAAAGCGUGGGGAGCAAACAGGAUUAGAUACCCUGGUAGUCCACGCCGUAAACGAUGUCGACUAGCCGUUGGGAUCCUUGAGAUCUUAGUGGCGCAGCUAACGCGAUAAGUCGACCGCCUGGGGAGUACGGCCGCAAGGUUAAAACUCAAAUGAAUUUGACGGGGGCCCGCACAAGCGGUGAGCAUGUGGAUUAAUUCGAAGCAACGCGAGAACCUUACCUGGCCUUGACAUGCUGGAAGAACUUUCCCAGGAAGAAUGG
This 906-nucleotide ribosomal RNA is filed under the name Pseudomonas aeruginosa. Its description in RNAcentral is "bacterial SSU rRNA". It matches the Rfam family "Bacterial small subunit ribosomal RNA", at positions 112 to 1015 of the family's 1533-position model. Lineage: Bacteria; Pseudomonadati; Pseudomonadota; Gammaproteobacteria; Pseudomonadales; Pseudomonadaceae. The record is from RNAcentral.